This 707-nucleotide long non-coding RNA is filed under the name Rattus norvegicus (Norway rat). RNAcentral's name for it is "long non-coding RNA NONRATT031123". The record is from RNAcentral. Lineage: Eukaryota; Metazoa; Chordata; Mammalia; Rodentia; Muridae.
GGGGCGCAGCGCGGCGCCUAAGGGAGCGCUGGCUUCAGAGAGGAAUCGAGGGACUGGGGUCUGUGCCCCCGCACCCCCGUUCUCCGGCCGCGUCUCCCAACCCCACAGACACAUUCUUGGGGGUUUCUGAGCUUCGGUUGCUCUGUUUUCCUGUGACACGUGAGUGUUGGGGGCGUGGAGGAAGCGGGCUGGGGUCCUUGCACACCUCUGCACUGAAGGAAAUGCGGACCGCGAGUCUCGCUUGGCCCUCGUUCUUGCUGGAGAUACUGCUAGGGAGCCGAAGGGCGGACUGGAGGCAAAAGGCAUGAGAACGGAAAACGUCAGACUUUUAGGCGUGAGGAAAAGGAGUUCCAAGUUCAGAGAGGAAUUUAAGAUGUUUUAAAGGAUGUUCCCUCUCUCUGGCUGUUGGAGGACUGAACUGUUACUGUUGCUACUCCUGGCUGUGGCUGUGAGAGAAUCCUGGCAGAUAGAAGAAAAAUCGUGUGACCUGGUAGGAGAAAAGGAUAAGGAGUCAAAGAAUGAGGUGGCUCUCCUGGAGAGGUUACGGCCACUGUUUAACAAAAGUUUUGAGAGUACUGUGGGCCAGGGCUCAGACACUUACAGCUAUAUAUUCAGAGUAUGCCGGGAAGCUGGCAACCACUCCUCUGGCGCAGGCCUGGUCCAGAUCAACAAAAGUAAUGAGAAGGAAACGGUGGUUGGGAGAAUCA